RNAcentral lists this long non-coding RNA (1234 nucleotides) under Dromaius novaehollandiae (emu). RNAcentral describes it as "lncRNA (ENSDNVG00000015402.1)". Lineage: Eukaryota; Metazoa; Chordata; Aves; Casuariiformes; Dromaiidae. The record is from RNAcentral.
CCGCGCACGGGGCUCCCGGAGCGGGCUGAGGGCACCGUCCCUUCCCGGGAGAGCAGACAAAGGAGCAGUCAGGGUGGUGCUCGGAGGAUCGGGGGGCAGCGGGAGGUCUUCCGUGGCAGCAGCUAUGUUUUGGGAAAUAGGAAUGUUUCUGGGACCGGGAGGAAGGUAGCAGCAAUAAGGGUGCCCCAGCAGGAGCGGCAGCUCUGCCCCCGAGGCCGCCGGGCUGGAGAGCCGUGGGAGCAGCCGGGCCUCCGAGCGGACGGGCGCCCUUCCCACCACCGAGGAGGGUUACAACACCUUGCGCUUGAGUUUUGAUGGUUGGCAAAUGGGUGAAAGAGAUACAGCGUGCCUCACAGACCCCCGUGGGGCUCAGCGGGUCUCGUGCGGACGCUGCGGUCUCCCCUGGCCGGUGCAGAGCGAGCUCCAGCGGUGCCAGUCCGGAUCUCGGGAAGGGGCCCGCUCCGAGCUCCCUGAGCUUCUUACACAAAAUGGCCUUUGGUGUUUUAAUUUCCCACCUCUUUUUUUUCUUAAUUCCCAGUUCCUUUUGCACUGCUGUCUCAGCCAGCGCACGCUAGCUCCUGAAGCCUGCCUUCUCUACGUGCCCUUGGUGCCCUCCUUGACCAUCACGUUGCCACGAGGAGCGUCCUCUGCAUCAGUGAAGCUCAGUCCCCGGAUCCCGGCCUUCUCGCCCCAUCGCUGCGGUGCCCCAGCCACCCCUUCCCCUCCAUCCCUGCUUCCUCCCCUCACCUCCCUCUGGCACCGGCCCGGCUCACCGGUGGGACGUGCAGGCCAGGAGGCACGUGGGACGGGACACGCAGAGAGCAGGGGACGGGACACGCAGAGAGCAGGGAAACGAAGUGGGGCCAGGGAAGAAAUGAGCUGCAGCGAAGCAGAGAGGCGUCAUUCUCCACGACCGCUCUCCCAACUGCCCUGCGCUGCAAAGCCGCGCAAGCCAUUCGAGUGGUAUUUACGGAAAGCAGCCCCUUUGUGGCAUUUUUCAUCCCUGGACUACAAAAGAACGGCAAGGCUGGUUGCCGCAGAAAGAGGGCAUGGGACGCGCAGCGGCAAGCUCCAGCCUACUGAACCGGUGCCUUUGCCGAGCUUGCACGUGUGCUGAGGAAGAGAGCGGAGACCUUCAGUCUUCCUGCAUGACCCAGAACAACAGUUUCAAAACCAAAGAGCUGCUUAGCUAAUCAUUGAAAUAAAGCAUAUUGGUUAAAAAAAAAAAAAAUCA